UAAUACCGUAUAAGCUCACGCCGAGUAGGUAGGUGUGAGAAAAGGUUUACUGCUUGGGAGGGGGCUGCGGCCCAUCAGGUAGUUGGUGAGUAACGGCUCACCAAGCCGACGACGGUAGGGGGUCUGAGAGGAUGGCCCCCCACACUGGGACUGAGACACGGCCCAGACUCCUACGGGAGGCAGCAGUGAGGGAUAUUGCGCAAUGGGGAAACCCUGACGCAGCGACGCCGCGUGGGUGAUGAAGGCCUUCGGGUCGUAAAACCCUUUUGCCACUGACGAGGAAGGACGGUAGGUGGCGAAUAAGCCUCGGCUAACUACGUG
RNAcentral lists this ribosomal RNA (321 nucleotides) under uncultured bacterium. Its description in RNAcentral is "bacterial SSU rRNA". It matches the Rfam family "Bacterial small subunit ribosomal RNA", at positions 164 to 507 of the family's 1533-position model. The record is from RNAcentral.